RNAcentral lists this long non-coding RNA (2298 nucleotides) under Mustela putorius furo (domestic ferret). RNAcentral's name for it is "lncRNA (ENSMPUG00000025302.1)". The record is from RNAcentral. Lineage: Eukaryota; Metazoa; Chordata; Mammalia; Carnivora; Mustelidae.
CUCAUAGUAGUGAUACUACUAUGAUCUUUGGUAGGGUUUCUUACACCUCUUUAAAAAUAGUUCCCUUGUCAAUUCUUCUAACUAGAAUUUCCUGAUAGAAGCCAAAUGAUACAGGUAUCUAAAGUGGGUACUAGUACCAUUCCCAUUUUAUGGAUGAGGAAACUGAGGUAAAAGAGAGAUGAGGUGACCUGCUCAAGGCCAUCCAGCUGCACAAGAAUAAAAACUCAACCAGAGAGUGUGGCGGGAGGUUCAAAGGCCUUGAAUGCCAUGUUAAAUAGAGACUGAUCCUGUCUCCUACAGAGGGUGCCAGAAGCUCAUCCUUUCUUUAUUCAUUAAAUCCCUAUUGAGCGGUAACACCUCUGCCUCUUGAGAAAUCAAUUCCUUGCAGGAAAGAGGAGAGAAUUCCUCACGCUCGGGGGCCUUCACAGAGCUAUGGUGGGGCUCAGAGAGAUUUUAGCCGUAGGAAGAGCUAUUCUGGAAAUUGGGUAGAGCAUGUGACUGAGGUCCAGCCAAUCAGCGCAUCACAUUCCGCUGGUCACAGUGACUGGCUCAGGAGUGAUCCAACCAAAGCCAAGGAGAUUAUUUCCCUGGAAUACUUGUAGGAGAGGCACGCUUUCUUCUCUGCCAGGCUUCCAUCUGCGAGAAGAUAAAGCCUAGAUAUGCCAGUGAGACGGUGUGGAUAAAGGACCCCUGGUCAAGGAACCAGAACCAAGAAAUGGAGAGAAAAGGAGUUCUGCGAUGACAUUCCAGAUUCUGCAUGCAGCCAUGUCUGAAAUCAAUGUAAAUCUUUGGAGGAUUCUCUUACAUGAGACAACAAAGUCCCCUUUCCCCUCUGAUAGGGUUCCAAAUUCCAGAGCUACAAUCUCAUCAGUUGCAAUGGAAACAGUCUGGAUGCCGUGGGAGACCUUGGAGUGGGGCCUCUGUAGCAGUCAGGAGAACCUCUGUUCAUCCAGCAAGACCCAAUGAAAAUGUUACCAUCUUUGUUCAACCUUCCAAUCACUCCUCUGUCCAUACUCUCUGCCUAAUAUGGGACUUGAACUCACAAGCAUGCAUGUUCCGUGGACUGAAACAGUCUAGUGGCCUGAAGCUGACCUAUUUCCAGAUGUCCAGUUAUGGGAAUUAUGUGAGUCAAAGGCAUACCUCUAACUGAGUCUGACUUGAAUUCCUGUUAUUUCAUCCAUUUACACAGGAAGCCAAGACUUUGAUAGUCACGCGCUUAACAUUCUUCAGUGAGUGCUAAGAGCUGGGAUUCCACUCCAAAUCCGUCUUAUCCUACAGCCUUUGGUCAUCCCACUAAGCUGAGCCAAGAAAGGUCAUGUUGCUUGAUCUUGGUUCUGAUUCAUCCAUUUACCUUUGGAUAUGGAUUCUCUAAUACAUGCCGUUUCUUCUGCCUAGAAACGGAUUCUCUAAUACAUGCUGUUUUCUACUGCCUAGAAUAGUCUAUGCCUCCUCUCUCUGCUUAGCAAACUACAAGGCCUCAGCUUAAAUAAAUGUCAUUUCCUGACCUCCUCCCCAUUCCUACCCUGGUGAUUAACCUAGAUCCCUUGGCCAUUAAUUCUCAUGGUGGUUUGUAUUUUUCUUUCACACCCUUAUCACAAUUAUAACUGAUGACUUAUCAUGUAAUACUUUUAUAAUAACGUGUGUAUUUCAUAAGAGCACAUGUGUAUGUUUUCUCGGCACUGAAUCCUCAGAACCACCGAUGUCCCUUAGUGGGUUGCCAUAAAUAGUUGAUGAAGGAAUAAAUGAAAGCUGUUGCUCUGGGGAGGGGGGGGUGUCAGGAGUUCCCCCAGCAGCUCUCCAAGGGCGGUCCCAGGACCCGCCAGUAUUAGCAUCAUCUGGUAACUUAGAAAUGUAAAUUAGGCGCCACCCAGGGGCGCCUGGGUGGCUCAGUGGGUUAAAGCCUCUGCCUUCGGCCCAGGUCAUGAUCCCGGGGUCCUGGGAUCCAGCCCCGCAUCGGGCUCUCUGCUUGGCAGGGAGCCUGCUUCUCCGUCUCUCUCUGCCUGCCUCUCUCCCUACUUGUGAUCUCUCUGUCAAAUAAAUAAAUAAAAUCUUUAAAAAAAAUUUAGGCCCCACCCAGACCUACUGAGUGAGAAUCUUUGAAACGCAGGGGUGGGAUGGGUGACCACUGGUUUGAAAAGCACCGGGUUGGGGCGCCUGGGUGGCUCCGUGGGUUAAAGCCUCUGCCUUCGGCCCAGGUCAUGAUCUCAGGGUCCUGGGAUCGAGUCCCACAUCGGGCUCUCUGCUCAGCAGGGAACCUGCUUCCUCCUCUCUCUCUCUGCCUGCCUCUGUGCCUACUUG